Molecule: ribosomal RNA, 621 nt
Filed under: Triticum aestivum (bread wheat)
Lineage: Eukaryota; Viridiplantae; Streptophyta; Magnoliopsida; Poales; Poaceae
Description: partial small subunit ribosomal RNA
Source: RNAcentral
AUGGCCGCCUCCUCCAGCGUCGCGAACUCUGGCCUCUCUGGCCAGAUCACCGAAAAGCUGACCCGCACCAACUUCAUCCUGUGGCGCACGCAGAUCACGCCACAACUCCGAGGUGCGGGCUUCUUCGGCUACGUCGACGGCAGCAUGCCGGAGCCGGCCAAAGUCAUCGUCACGAAGGACAAGGACGGGAAGGAGGAGUCUACACCGAACCCCCUUCAUCCGAUCUGGAUCCGUGAAGAUCAGCAGGUACUAGGAUACCUUCUGAAUAAUCUCUCCAAAGAGGUACUUGUGCAGGUCACAUCGAUCGGCCAUGCCCAUGAUCUCUGGACAGCGCUGUCGAGCAUGUUCUCGUCGCAGUCGUUGUCCCGCGUCAACAACAUACGCGUCGCCCUCGCCAAUGCACGCAAGGGGACGCAAUCUGUGGCAAGCUUCUUCGCGCACAUGCGCUCGCUUGCUGACGAGCUCGCGGCGGUGGGCAAACCGCUCGGUGACGACGAGCUGGCCUCCUACAUCACCGCAGGCCUCGACAUGGAGUACCAGCCGCUCAUCUCCGCGCUCGACGCCCGUACAGAACCGGUCUCCCUCGAAGAUCUGUUCGCGAUGAUGAGCAACUUCGACUAG